Molecule: ribosomal RNA, 301 nt
Filed under: uncultured bacterium
Lineage: Bacteria
Description: partial 16S ribosomal RNA
Rfam family: Bacterial small subunit ribosomal RNA
Source: RNAcentral
CAGUAGCCGCGGGAAUACGGAGGGGGCUAGCGUUGUUCGGAAUUACUGGGCGUAAAGCGCACGUAGGCGGCUUGGUAAGUUAGAGGUGAAAGCCCGGAGCUCAACUCCGGAAUUGCCUUUAAGACUGCCGAGCUAGUAGGUGAGAGAGGUAAGUGGAAUUCCGAGUGUAGAGGUGAAAUUCGUAGAUAUUCGGAAGAACACCAGUGGCGAAGGCGGCUUACUGGCUCAUUCUAGACGCUGAGGUGCGAAAGCGUGGGGAGCAAACAGGAUUAGAUACCCCGGUAGUCCCUGUCUCUUAUAC